RNAcentral lists this ribosomal RNA (468 nucleotides) under uncultured bacterium. RNAcentral describes it as "partial 16S ribosomal RNA". It matches the Rfam family "Bacterial small subunit ribosomal RNA", at positions 28 to 507 of the family's 1533-position model. The record is from RNAcentral.
GACGAACGCUGGCGGCGUGCUUAACACAUGCAAGUCGAACGGAAAGGCCCUGCUUUUGUGGGGUGCUCGAGUGGCGAACGGGUGAGUAACACGUGAGUAACCUGCCCUUGACUUUGGGAUAACUUCAGGAAACUGGGGCUAAUACCGGAUAGGAGCUCCUGCUGCAUGGUGGGGGUUGGAAAGUUUCGGCGGUUGGGGAUGGACUCGCGGCUUAUCAGCUUGUUGGUGGGGUAGUGGCUUACCAAGGCUUUGACGGGUAGCCGGCCUGAGAGGGUGACCGGCCACAUUGGGACUGAGAUACGGCCCAGACUCCUACGGGAGGCAGCAGUGGGGAAUAUUGCACAAUGGGCGGAAGCCUAAUGCAGCAACGCCGCGUGCGGGAUGACGGCCUUCGGGUUGUAAACCGCUUUCGCCUAUGACGAAGCGUGAGUGACGGUAAUGGGUAAAGAAGCACCGGCUAACUACGUG